Molecule: ribosomal RNA, 119 nt
Filed under: Pteropus alecto (black flying fox)
Lineage: Eukaryota; Metazoa; Chordata; Mammalia; Chiroptera; Pteropodidae
Source: RNAcentral
GUCUACAGCUAUGCUAUCCUGAAGAAGCCAGAUCCUGUCUAAUCUCAGAAGCUAAGCAGGAUCUGGCCUGGUUAGUACUUGGAUGAGAGACCCCCUACGAAGAUCAGAUGCUGUUGGUG